GACGAACGCUGGCGGCGUGCUUAACACAUGCAAGUCGAACGGAAAGGCGCUGCUUUUGUGGGGUGCUCGAGUGGCGAACGGGAGAGUAACGCGUGAGUAACCUGCCCUGGACCUUGGGAUAACUUCAGGGAACGGGGGCGAAUACCGGAUAGGAGCUCCUGCUGCAGGGGGGGGGUUGGAAAGUGUCGGCGGUUGGGGCUGGGGGCGGGGCGUAUGAGCUUGUUGGGGGGGUAGGGGGGGACCACGGCUUGGACGGGUAGCCGGUCUGAGAGGGUGACCGGCCCCGUUGGGACUGAGACACGGCGCAGACUCGUACGGGAGUCAGCAGUGGGGAAUAUUGCACAGUGGGCGGGAGCCUGAUGCGACGGCGCCGCGCGCGGGAUGACCGCCUUCCGGUUGUGAACCGCUUUCGCCUGGGACGUAGCGUGAGUGACGGUAAUGGGUAAAGAAGCACCGGCUAACUACGUG
Molecule: ribosomal RNA, 468 nt
Filed under: uncultured bacterium
Lineage: Bacteria
Description: partial 16S ribosomal RNA
Rfam family: Bacterial small subunit ribosomal RNA
Source: RNAcentral